UGGGGAAUAUUGCGCAAUGGACGAAAGUCUGACGCAGCAACGCCGCGUGAGUGAUGAAGGCCUUCGGGUUGUAAAGCUCUGUCGGGUGGAACGAAAAGGCAGGGUGUGAAUAAUGCUCUGAUUUGACGGUACCACCAGAGGAAGCACCGGCUAACUCCGUGCCAGCAGCCGCGGUAAUACGGAGGGUGCAAGCGUUGCUCGGAAUUAUUGGGCGUAAAGCGCACGCAGGCGGCAGGAUAAGUCAGUUGUGAAACUCCCGGGCUUAACUUGGGAACUGCAGCUGAUACUGUUCUACUUGAGUACGGAAGAGGGGAGCGGAAUUCCCAGUGUAGAGGUGAAAUUCGUAGAUAUUGGGAGGAACACCGGUGGCGAAGGCGGCUCCCUGGUCCGAUACUGACGCUCAUGUGCGAAAGCGUGGGGAGCAAACAG
This 429-nucleotide ribosomal RNA is filed under the name uncultured bacterium. RNAcentral describes it as "bacterial SSU rRNA". It matches the Rfam family "Bacterial small subunit ribosomal RNA", at positions 355 to 775 of the family's 1533-position model. The record is from RNAcentral.